Molecule: ribosomal RNA, 492 nt
Filed under: uncultured bacterium
Lineage: Bacteria
Description: partial 16S ribosomal RNA
Rfam family: Bacterial small subunit ribosomal RNA
Source: RNAcentral
AGUGAACGCUGGCGGUAGGCCUAACACAUGCAAGUCGAACGGCAGCACAGUAAGAGCUUGCUCUUACGGGUGGCGAGUGGCGGACGGGUGAGGAAUAUAUCGGAAUCUACUUUUUCGUGGGGGAUAACGUAGGGAAACUUACGCUAAUACCGCAUACGACCUACGGGUGAAAGCAGGGGAUCUUCGGACCUUGCGCGAUUGAAUGAGCCGAUGUCGGAUUAGCUAGUUGGCGGGGUAAAGGCCCACCAAGGCGACGAUCCGUAGCUGGUCUGAGAGGAUGAUCAGCCACACUGGAACUGAGACACGGUCCAGACUCCUACGGGAGGCAGCAGUGGGGAAUAUUGGACAAAGGGCGCAAGCCUGAUCCAGCCAUACCGCGUGGGUGAAGAAGGCCUUCGGGUUGUAAAGCCCUUUUGUUGGGAAAGAAAAGCAGCAGGUUAAUACCCCGCUGUUCUGACGGUACCCAAAGAAUAAGCACCGGCUAACUUCGUG